AACGAACGCUGGCGGCGUGGAUAAGACAUGCAAGUCGAACGCUGAUUUCAAGGUAGCAAUAUUUUGAAGUUGGAGUGGCGCAAGGGUGUGUAACACGUGGGUAAUCUGCCGUGAAGCCUGGGAUAACUUGCUGAAAGGCGAGCUAAUACCGGAUGUGAAAAUCGGAAGGCAUCUUUUGAUUUCAAAGUUGGGGACCGCAAGGCCUGACGCUUUAUGAUGAACCCGCGGCCUAUCAGCUAGUUGGUGAGGUAAUAGCUCACCAAGGCUAAGACGGGUAGCUGGUCUGAGAGGACGACCAGCCACACUGGAACUGAGACACGGUCCAGACACCUACGGGAGGCAGCAGUGGGGAAUCUUGCGCAAUGGUCUAACGACUGACGCAGCGACGCCGCGUGAGGGAUGAAGCUCUUCGGAGUGUAAACCUCUGUU
This 429-nucleotide ribosomal RNA is filed under the name uncultured bacterium. RNAcentral describes it as "bacterial SSU rRNA". It matches the Rfam family "Bacterial small subunit ribosomal RNA", at positions 29 to 437 of the family's 1533-position model. The record is from RNAcentral.